Molecule: ribosomal RNA, 200 nt
Filed under: uncultured bacterium
Lineage: Bacteria
Description: partial 16S ribosomal RNA
Rfam family: Bacterial small subunit ribosomal RNA
Source: RNAcentral
ACGCUCGACACCUACGGGAGGCAGCAGUGGGGAAUAUUGGGCAAUGGGGGCAACCCUGACCCAGCAACGCCGCGUGAAGGAAGAAGGCUUUCGGGUUGUAAACUUCUUUGACAAGGGACGAAAUAAAUGACGGUACCUUGAAAACAAGCCACGGCUAACUACGUGCCACAGCCGCGGUAAUCUGAGCGGGCUGGCAAGGC